AGAACACAUGGCCCUUAGACUAAUGCCGAUGACCUUAUCAGCAUGGCCCACACACCCAGCUUUUGAGGACAAUAAUAUCCCACAAUACCAGAACAGUCUACAGCAGGAAGCUCCUAUGUUGCUGUUAACGCCUCCGCCUUUGCAGAGAUCAGCCAGGGGUGACAAAUCUUUGAGAAUUUCUCUUCGCUCCUCACCCCAUCCUCCAUUACUACCAAACCUGGAGUUCCAGAGAGAAUGUUGCAGGAAGUCAGGGACCCGGAAAAGAGGGACUGACUGAAGCCAUGGCAGGAGAACAUAAAUUGUGAAGAUUUCAUGGACAUUUAUUAGUUCCCCAAAUUAAAACUUUUAUAAUUUCUUAUGCCUGUCUUUACUGCAAUCUGUGAACAUAAAUUGUGAAGAUUUCAUGGACAUUUAUCACUUCCCUAAUCAAUACUCUUGUGAUUUCCUAUACCUGUCUUUAAUCUCUUAAUCCCAUCAUCUUCAUAAGCUGAGGAUGUAUGUCCACUCAGGAUCCUGUCAUGAUUGCGUUAACUGCACAAAUUGUUUGUAACCAUGUGUGUUUAAACAAUAUGAAAUCUGGGCACCUUGAAAAAAGAACAGGAUAACAGUGAUGUUCAUGGAACAAGGGCGAUAACCAUUAGGUCUGGCUGCCUGAGAGCCAGGUGGAACAGAGCCAUAUUUCUCUUCUUUCAAAAGUAAAUAGGAGAAAUAUUGCUGAAUUCCUUUUCUCAGCAAGGAACAGCCCUGAGAAAGAGAAUGCAUUCCCAGGGGUAGGUCUCUAAACUGGCCGCUCUGGGAAUGUCUGUCUUUUAUGGUUGAAGAUAAGGGAUGAAAUAAGCCCUGGUCUCCAGUAGCACUCCCAGGCCUAUUACGGUGAGUAAAUUCUCACCUAGUAAAUUUUUAGUCAGACUGGUUGUCUGCUCUCAAACCCUGUCUCCUGAUAAGAUGUUAUCAAUGACAAUGCGUGCCUGAAACUUCAUUAGCAAUUUUAAUUUCGCCCCCGUCCUGUGAUCUCACCCUGCCUCCAUUUGCCUUGUAAUAUUUUAUUACCUUGUGAAGCAUGUGAUCUCUGUGACCCAUACCCUAUUCAUACACUCCCUCCCCUUUUGAAAAUCACUAAUAAAAACUUGCUGGUUUUGCGGCUUGGGGGGCAUCAUGGAACCUGCCGACAUGUGUGUGUCUCCCGUGGAUACCCAGCUUUAAAAUUUCUCUCUUUUGUACUCUUUCCCUUUAUUUCUCCGACUGACCAACACUUAGGGAAAUAGAAAAGAACCUACGUGAAAUAACGUUGAAUUAUUGGGGGCGGGUUCCCCUGAUAAGGGAAGAGUCUGUUUAUUACUUAUUUUAUCUUUCCUAAAAUACCUAACAUGGGGAUUC
Molecule: long non-coding RNA, 1377 nt
Filed under: Homo sapiens (human)
Lineage: Eukaryota; Metazoa; Chordata; Mammalia; Primates; Hominidae
Description: HSALNT0166640
Source: RNAcentral